RNAcentral lists this transfer RNA (65 nucleotides) under Dipodomys ordii (Ord's kangaroo rat). It matches the Rfam family "tRNA". Rfam says of the family: Transfer RNA (tRNA) molecules are approximately 80 nucleotides in length. The record is from Rfam by way of RNAcentral. Lineage: Eukaryota; Metazoa; Chordata; Mammalia; Rodentia; Heteromyidae.
GGUGGCUCAGUGGUAGAGUAUUUGCUUUGCAUGCAUGAGGCCCUAGGUUUGAUUCCUUAGUACCA